CCGAGUUAUACACUCAUCAACCCUGUGAACUACCUAAAACGUUGCUUCGGCGGGAACAGACGGCCCUGUAACAACGGGCCGCCCCCGCCAGAGGACCCUACUCUGUUUUAUAAUGUUUUUCUGAGUAACAAGCAAAUAAAUUA
RNAcentral lists this unclassified non-coding RNA (143 nucleotides) under soil metagenome. RNAcentral's name for it is "partial internal transcribed spacer 1". The record is from RNAcentral.